This is a long non-coding RNA of Sebastes umbrosus (honeycomb rockfish), 693 nucleotides long. RefSeq lists it as uncharacterized. Lineage: Eukaryota; Metazoa; Chordata; Actinopteri; Perciformes; Sebastidae. The record is from RefSeq and is a predicted model, not a curated record. The transcript has 2 exons.
AAGCUAACGAAAACACAACGAUUCUUAUUUUCAGAUGAUUAUUAGGGGUGUAACAAUCCUUCAAUCCGGAUCGAUGGAUAUCGAAUCCAAUAUCAUUGAUGCAAAGUGAAAACAUCGAUACAUAUCAUCAUCUUUAAGAUACGCCUUUAUUUUGAAGUUCCCAUGGCACAUCUGUUUCACCAUUUCUGUCCACCUGUCCAAGUAUUCCUAAACAUCCAAACAGUGCUAAGCUUCGGUUAUGCUAUCCGCAACAAUGGCCGCACAGACAUGAGCUGACGUGGAAUCAUGACAAGGAAACUUAGUGAGCGGUGCUAGCAGCAUAACAUUAGCAAUUGUGCGGUCGGCUGAGCGAGAGAGAGAGAGACAGAGGGAGAGAGAGAGAGAGAGAGAGAGAGACAGAGAGUGAGAGAGAAAUAGAGAGAGACACAGAGAGACAGAGAGAGAGAGAGAUAGAGAGAGAGAGAGAAUGAGAGAGAAAGAGAGAAGAGAGAGAGAGAGAGAGAGAGACACAGAGUAAAGACCCCAUAUGCCGGAUUCUCAUCUGCAGGGUAUCCAGUUUCACCCUGCAGCGUCUCCCUGGGUGGUUCCUGUGAGUUCAGGCUUGAAGCCAUGAAAGACUCACUAUUGCAACCACUGAUAGGCUGAUAGACUCUGGUGCCUAAAUAAGGCACCCGUACAGUCCAUCACUACAGU